UGGGCCUCCAUCGACAGCAGCAGAGCCAUAUACCUGCCUCUCAUCUGUCCCUGUCAAGUCGAUGUCAACUGUCCUUCCCAAGAGCUGGCGGCCCCUCAGGAUGUCACCAGGCUGCCUGCUGCCCUAGCUCAGGUCCCCACAAGCAGUCUCAGGAAAUGCACAUGGCUCUGGACCAGAAAUACCAGUAAGGGUUACUCUGUCUGAAAUGCAACAGGAUGAUUGGGAGACCGGAAAAAAGAGCUCCUUGAGAAAAGAGCACCAAAGCGAUGUGACACCAC
RNAcentral lists this long non-coding RNA (278 nucleotides) under Fukomys damarensis (Damara mole-rat). Its description in RNAcentral is "lncRNA (ENSFDAG00000025494.1)". The record is from RNAcentral. Lineage: Eukaryota; Metazoa; Chordata; Mammalia; Rodentia; Bathyergidae.